ACUCCUACGGGAGGCCAGCAGUGGGGAAUAAUUCACAAGGGCGCAAGCCUGAUGCAGCCAUGCCGCGUGUAUGAAGAAGGCCCUUCGGGUUGUAAAAGUACUUUCAGCAGUGAGGAAGGUAGUGUAGUUAAUAGCUGCAUUAUUUGACGUUAGCUGCAGAAGAAGCACCGGCUAACUCCGUGCCAGCAGCCGCGGUAAUAC
This 201-nucleotide ribosomal RNA is filed under the name uncultured bacterium. RNAcentral's name for it is "partial 16S ribosomal RNA". It matches the Rfam family "Bacterial small subunit ribosomal RNA", at positions 335 to 526 of the family's 1533-position model. The record is from RNAcentral.